Molecule: long non-coding RNA, 1881 nt
Organism: Ctenopharyngodon idella (grass carp)
Lineage: Eukaryota; Metazoa; Chordata; Actinopteri; Cypriniformes; Xenocyprididae
Exons: 4
Source: RefSeq, a predicted model, not a curated record
UAGGAUGGCUUGAGGGGCUCUCUUCACACUCCGAAGUGAGGCUGCAGAAUUCAGACGGCGUAUCAGUCGCUCACCCUGCCAGAGAGGGAUACGGUGCAGAGGCCGUCCUGUGCGAUAAGAGCUGGACAGCCCGACCUGCAGAGGACUGGACUGAACUUGAACCGUGGUUAGGCAGUAUGAGGCUGGGAACACAAGGCUCUUACCUGGGAACACCAUCCCGCUGAAGUCGUGAGUCACGCUGGCAUCAACAGCACUCAAAUCAUAGAGAUGGCAUUUGAGAUGUUAAAUAGGUCGGGAGCACCUGAAUGUCACAUACUCCUCACAAAAGAAGACUGCAUCCAUGUGAAUUAUUGUGAAGAGGCAGUGUAUCAGCUAUCCAUACGCUCUGUUGGAGGUUUCAAACUGGACUGAAUUCCUUCGUAAAGUGGUCUCUCACCUCUAUAACGGGACAUGUUGUACUUCAUGGUUACAGAGGUAUGGAUUUCAGCACACACUCCUAAUCCCACAACUCAUAUUUCAGCAUUAAAUGCAGUGUUACAGGUUAAACAUCCUUUAAGGGGCUCCCGGAUGCAACCGGCACAUGCAGCCUGUGAGUAUUUGUUUUCAUGACAUGCACAUUAUGCAAAAAGACAAGCUGUUAUGUGAACAUUUACCUUAUUCUGUACAGUUGUAUCUUGCAUCUGAACUCGUUUAACCAUCACAUUCUUCCAUUCCAACCCAUUUUUUACUCUUAUCACUUUUCCCCUUUGAUUUCCCUCCCCCCUCACUAACACUCUCUGUUCUUUAUCUAAGGGCAGCAGGCCAGGCACACGUGUACAUGCUCUCUGAAGAAGGGCAGUUCAGUGGAAACUAGCGAGCAAACACUCCAAAAAGGACACACGCUCCCUCAAUGUCAGCAAAUAUUUAGUCACAACUUCAAAGAGAAGUGACAGUCCUUUGAAAUUGGGCUCAAGUUGGGCACUAUUAGAGCAGGUGGAAUGCUUUUUAAGAACAAUGUGAUGAUGGCCAUAUAUUCUGAUCUCUUUUACUAAUAAUGAUGUACAGUUUUUGCUUCAUUUCAUAAGGCCAACGUGGCAACAUAUUUUUAGAGGCAGACCAUCAUGUAACAAUGUGCUGCUGUCACCUGCAAGACCGGCUGUUCUAACGGCUCAGAGAAAUGGACUAAUGAGGGCCCUGAAGUGAGUGCGAUGCAUUGAUAAAGUGUCAUUAAAAAAGAUGGAUUGUCACUUAAGCAUUUAUAGCUGCUGUUCAGCUCUUUCUGUUCUCGAAGUGUUCGGAAAUCACCCCUCUAGAUCAGGCUCUGUGGAGUGUGGGCAACAGUUUUUCAUGGGUGACAAAUAUAGUUAAAUGGUGAAAUAUAGAGGUGUACAACUUGUUCUCCCUAAGAGCUUGGUUAAUAGAGAACAGGGCACAGAGCACAUUUAUUUGUAGGUCAGUAUGUAUGUGUUAUUUGUCUGACAGUUUGGCUUUUAAACAGUUUAGUUAAGAGUUCACCCAAAAUCAGAGUAUAUACAGAUGCAUAGGAAAAUAUAAUGUAUGCUUAUGAGACAACGGAGGUUUCAGUAUAGAGACAAAUUAUUUUAUAUUUAUAAAAUAUAAAUUAUAUUUGUAGCAAAUAUAUUGUGUUUUGUUUUUUUUAAUUAAAUAUGUUUUAUACUACUGUUUGAAAAUUUGCGUUUAGUAUGUUUUUUUUGAAUGAAAUUCACUUGACAAUGAAGAAAAUGAAUAAUGUUACAAAUGAUUUCAUUUUCUAAUAAAUGCUUUUCUUUUGAACUUUCUAUUCAUCAAAGAGGUCCUGAAAAAAUUUAUUGUGGUUUCCACAAAAAUAUUAAACAACUGUUUUCAACAUUGUUGAUAAUAAAAAAUGAUCAAUAAGAAUGA